CACAGGGGGUAGAGCACUGUUUCGGCUAGGGGGUCAUCCCGACUUACCAAACCGAUGCAAACUCCGAAUACCCAGAAGUGUCAGCACGGGAGACACACGGCGGGUGCUAACGUCCGUCGUGAAGAGGGAAACAACCCAGACCGCCAGCUAAGGUCCCCAAGUACCAGUUAAGUGGGAAACGAUGUGGGAAGGCUUAGACAGCUAGGAGGUUGGCUUAGAAGCAGCCACCCUUUAAAGAAAGCGUAAUAGCUCACUAGUCGAGUCGGCCUGCGCGGAAGAUGUAACGGGGCUCAAACCAGGCACCGAAGCUACGGGUUCAUCUUUGAUGAGCGGUAGAGGAGCG
RNAcentral lists this ribosomal RNA (343 nucleotides) under Chaetoceros neogracilis. Its description in RNAcentral is "partial Bacterial large subunit ribosomal RNA". It matches the Rfam family "Bacterial large subunit ribosomal RNA", at positions 891 to 1238 of the family's 2925-position model. The record is from RNAcentral. Lineage: Eukaryota; Bacillariophyta; Thalassiosirophyceae; Chaetocerotales; Chaetocerotaceae.